GCAAACUUGGUCAUUUAGAGGAAGUAAAAGUCGUAACAAGGUCUCCGUUGGUGAACCAGCGGAGGGAUCAUUAUAGAGUCUUCAGAACUCCAAACCACUGUGAACAUACCACUGUUGCUUCGGCGGGUUGCUGGUCGUGGCGUCUCGCCGCGUCCGGAUCGCCCGCCGGGGAUCUCAAACUCUUGUUUUCUAGCGUAUCUUCUGAGUACCAAAAUAAGCAAUCAAAACUUUCAGCAACGGAUCUCUUGGCUCUGGCAUCGAUGAAGAACGCAGC
RNAcentral lists this unclassified non-coding RNA (274 nucleotides) under uncultured fungus. Its description in RNAcentral is "partial contains small subunit ribosomal RNA, internal transcribed spacer 1, and 5.8S ribosomal RNA". The stretch from base 1 to 73 matches the Rfam family "Eukaryotic small subunit ribosomal RNA", at positions 1759 to 1831 of the family's 1831-position model. Lineage: Eukaryota; Fungi. The record is from RNAcentral.